This 1844-nucleotide ribosomal RNA is filed under the name Escherichia coli. Its description in RNAcentral is "partial 23S ribosomal RNA". It matches the Rfam family "Bacterial large subunit ribosomal RNA", at positions 612 to 2441 of the family's 2925-position model. Lineage: Bacteria; Pseudomonadati; Pseudomonadota; Gammaproteobacteria; Enterobacterales; Enterobacteriaceae. The record is from RNAcentral.
AUAAUGGGUCAGCGACUUAUAUUCUGUAGCAAGGUUAACCGAAUAGGGGAGCCGAAGGGAAACCGAGUCUUAACUGGGCGUUAAGUUGCAGGGUAUAGACCCGAAACCCGGUGAUCUAGCCAUGGGCAGGUUGAAGGUUGGGUAACACUAACUGGAGGACCGAACCGACUAAUGUUGAAAAAUUAGCGGAUGACUUGUGGCUGGGGGUGAAAGGCCAAUCAAACCGGGAGAUAGCUGGUUCUCCCCGAAAGCUAUUUAGGUAGCGCCUCGUGAAUUCAUCUCCGGGGGUAGAGCACUGUUUCGGCAAGGGGGUCAUCCCGACUUACCAACCCGAUGCAAACUGCGAAUACCGGAGAAUGUUAUCACGGGAGACACACGGCGGGUGCUAACGUCCGUCGUGAAGAGGGAAACAACCCAGACCGCCAGCUAAGGUCCCAAAGUCAUGGUUAAGUGGGAAACGAUGUGGGAAGGCCCAGACAGCCAGGAUGUUGGCUUAGAAGCAGCCAUCAUUUAAAGAAAGCGUAAUAGCUCACUGGUCGAGUCGGCCUGCGCGGAAGAUGUAACGGGGCUAAACCAUGCACCGAAGCUGCGGCAGCGACGCUGAUGCGUUGUUGGGUAGGGGAGCGUUCUGUAAGCCUGUGAAGGUGUGCUGUGAGGCAUGCUGGAGGUAUCAGAAGUGCGAAUGCUGACAUAAGUAACGAUAAAGCGGGUGAAAAGCCCGCUCGCCGGAAGACCAAGGGUUCCUGUCCAACGUUAAUCGGGGCAGGGUGAGUCGACCCCUAAGGCGAGGCCGAAAGGCGUAGUCGAUGGGAAACAGGUUAAUAUUCCUGUACUUGGUGUUACUGCGAAGGGGGGACGGAGAAGGCUAUGUUGGCCGGGCGACGGUUGUCCCGGUUUAAGCGUGUAGGCUGGUUUUCCAGGCAAAUCCGGAAAAUCAAGGCUGAGGCGUGAUGACGAGGCACUACGGUGCUGAAGCAACAAAUGCCCUGCUUCCAGGAAAAGCCUCUAAGCAUCAGGUAACAUCAAAUCGUACCCCAAACCGACACAGGUGGUCAGGUAGAGAAUACCAAGGCGCUUGAGAGAACUCGGGUGAAGGAACUAGGCAAAAUGGUGCCGUAACUUCGGGAGAAGGCACGCUGAUAUGUAGGUGAAGUCCCUCGCGGAUGGAGCUGAAAUCAGUCGAAGAUACCAGCUGGCUGCAACUGUUUAUUAAAAACACAGCACUGUGCAAACACGAAAGUGGACGUAUACGGUGUGACGCCUGCCCGGUGCCGGAAGGUUAAUUGAUGGGGUCAGCGCAAGCGAAGCUCUUGAUCGAAGCCCCGGUAAACGGCGGCCGUAACUAUAACGGUCCUAAGGUAGCGAAAUUCCUUGUCGGGUAAGUUCCGACCUGCACGAAUGGCGUAAUGAUGGCCAGGCUGUCUCCACCCGAGACUCAGUGAAAUUGAACUCGCUGUGAAGAUGCAGUGUACCCGCGGCAAGACGGAAAGACCCCGUGAACCUUUACUAUAGCUUGACACUGAACAUUGAGCCUUGAUGUGUAGGAUAGGUGGGAGGCUUUGAAGUGUGGACGCCAGUCUGCAUGGAGCCGGCCUUGAAAUACCACCCUUUAAUGUUUGAUGUUCUAACGUUGACCCGUUAUCCGGGUUGCGGACAGUGUCUGGUGGGUAGUUUGACUGGGGCGGUCUCCUCCUAAAGAGUAACGGAGGAGCACGAAGGUUGGCUAAUCCUGGUCGGACAUCAGGAGGUUAGUGCAAUGGCAUAAGCCAGCUUGACUGCGAGCGUGACGGCGCGAGCAGGUGCGAAAGCAGGUCAUAGUGAUCCGGUGGUUCUGAAUGGAAGGG